CCUACGGGAGGCAGCAGUGGGGAAUAUUGGACAAUGGGGGCAACCCUGAUCCAGCCAUGCCGCGUGAGUGAUGAAGGCCUUCGGGUUGUAAAGCUCUUUCGACGGGGACGAUGAUGACGGUACCCGUAGAAGAAGCCCCGGCUAACUUCGUGCCAGCAGCCGCGGUAAUACGAAGGGGGCGAGCGUUGUUCGGAAUUACUGGGCGUAAAGGGCGCGUAGGCGGCGCACCAAGUCAGGCGUGAAAGCCCUGGGCUUAACCCAGGAAUUGCGUUUGAGACUGGUGUGCUGGAGUGCAGGAGAGGUCGGCGGAAUUCCCAGUGUAGAGGUGAAAUUCGUAGAGAUUGGGAAGAACACCGGUGGCGUAGGCGGCCGACUGGACUGUAACUGACGCUGAGGCGCGAAAGCGUGGGGAGCAAACAGGAUUAGAUACCCUAGUAGUC
This 440-nucleotide ribosomal RNA is filed under the name uncultured bacterium. RNAcentral describes it as "bacterial SSU rRNA". It matches the Rfam family "Bacterial small subunit ribosomal RNA", at positions 338 to 795 of the family's 1533-position model. The record is from RNAcentral.